This 467-nucleotide ribosomal RNA is filed under the name uncultured bacterium. Its description in RNAcentral is "partial 16S ribosomal RNA". It matches the Rfam family "Bacterial small subunit ribosomal RNA", at positions 28 to 507 of the family's 1533-position model. The record is from RNAcentral.
GACGAACGCUGGCGGCGUGCUUAACACAUGCAAGUCGAACGGAAAGGCCUCUUUCUUGGGGUACUCGAGUUGCGAACGGGGGAGUAACAAGUGAGUAACCUGCCCUUGUCUUUGGGAUAACUUCAGGCAACAGGGGCGAGUACCGAAUAGGAGCUCUUUCGCCCUGGUGGGGGGUGGAAAGUUGCGGCGGUUGGGGAUGGACUCGCGGUUUAUCAGCUUGUUGGUGGGGGAGUGGCUUGCCAAGGCUUUGACGAGAAGCCGGCCAGUGCAGGUGACCGGCCGCAUUGGCCCUGAGAUUCGGCCCCGACUCCUACGGGAAGAUGCUGUGGGGAAUAUUGCCCGAUGGGUGGAAGGCUGCUGCAGCAACGCCGUGUGUGGGAUGACGGCCUUCGGGUUGUAAACCGCUUUCGCUCAUGACGAAGCUUUGUUUGACGGUAGUGGGUAAAGAAGCACCGGCUAACUACGUG